Mirounga angustirostris (Northern elephant seal) is the source of this 7084-nucleotide long non-coding RNA. RefSeq lists it as uncharacterized. The transcript is spliced from 10 exons. Lineage: Eukaryota; Metazoa; Chordata; Mammalia; Carnivora; Phocidae. The record is from RefSeq and is a predicted model, not a curated record.
AGAUGAAUCUAGAAGUCACAACAGUGGUUCCUUCUGUGGGUGGAGGAGUUCCACUGCUCGGGAAGGGGCAUGCGGAAGCCUUUGGUCUGCUGCAAAGGUUCUAUCUUGUCCUGGGUGGUGGUGAUACGGAUUUAUACACAUAUAUUCGACAACAGUACCCAUGUUUCUGGGCCUUGUUUUUUCACUUAACAGUAGAUCUUGGAGAUGGUCCACAUCAGUGCAUAAGGAAUGCCCUUCCUUUUUUAAAAAAGUAGUCCCUUGUGGAAACGACCAGGAUUUAAUGACCCGGUUCUUACUGAUGGCCAUUGAGGGGUUCCAAGUUGUCUUUCCUAUAAACAACACCACAGUGAACAUCUUUGUGCAGCUGUCUUUGUGUGCGGGAGAGCCGGCUUGCGGGGAAUUCCCAGGAAUCUGAGGACGGAUCAACAGGAAGUGCUGAGCAGAGAAAAUCGAACCAAAGGGGCCUGUGGUCCUGUUCCAGAACUCUGUGCCCAGUGGUGUAGCAGCUCGGAUGCAUCUAUUUGUUCCCAGUGUAGGAUCUGUCGUGUCAACAGACUGCAGUGAUCUUCCAGCUCCUGUGCAUGCGCCAUCUUCCAUGCCUGGAACAGUGAAGACAUUGAAUUAAAUCUUAGAACAAGAAGUCGGGAUAUGGGGCUGUUCUGGGAUCCACUAUCUGGGUUCUAGACUGCGCCUGGAUGUGCCUGGAUGUGCCGAACCUUCUCUGGCUUGUUCUCUUGGUGGUGAGCACUGUCUUCCCAGGCCUCCAGAUGCCAGCUCUCUGGUUCUCCUCUUCCUCCCUGCCUGGUCCUCCUUGGGCCUCACAAAUGGCCCUUGAGGUGAGGUGGAGCCCUCUCCUGCCUUCACCUGCCCAUGCCUGGUGAGCCAGCCGCAUGGGGUCCCUUGUUCCUGGACUGCCUGAGCCCGGCUUCUUCCUCCUCCAGAGACAUGGGUGUCAGUUAACCAGCCAUGCCCCACUUCGCUCCCCGGCUCAGAGAAUGGCGCUGCCACCCACCCAGCAGGUCUCGGACCCUGGAGCUGUUUUCCACUCUACCCUCUCCAACGCCAUCAGCCUUACCUUCCAACCGUGUCAGAAUCUGACCUGCCUCCCCUCCUCUGCCGCCAUCCUUAUCCCUCCCUGCGUCCGCCCUCACCACCUCCUGAGGGGUCGUGCUGGAGCCUCAGUCAUUUAACACUGCUGCCCUGCUCAGAGCCCUCCUGUGGCUCCCACCUGCCUCCAGGAAAGCCAAGUCCUCCCCAUCUCAGGGGACCCUGCAGGAUGGGCCCCUCUCCUCCUCGCCCCUCUACCCUCCCUUCUGGCCGUGCUGCCAUUCACUCCUUAAACAACACCCCACGAUUUCCCCCCACACUUUCCCCACCUUUGCUCUUGUUGUUCCCUCUGCUUGGAACACUGUUCUUCUGGAUCUUUCCAUGACCUGCCCCCUCUCCUCACUUGGGCCUGUGCUCUGCAGAGAGGCCUCCCAGACCAGCCCCUACUGCAGCCCUCCCCUCAUUCUCCAUCCUGGCCCUCAUUCAUUUUUCUGCUGCGCACUUGUCAUCCUCUAUUUAUGUGUUCAUUUGCUCAGUGUCGUGUGCCCACCCUGAAGGUGAGCUCUAGCAAGGAGCUAGAGUCUUAUUCAGCACAGGGCCUGGCACACAGGUGGUGCACAAAACACUGUGCUUGGCGACAGUCUUGGCAAGACAACCUCCCAGAGAUGGCCGUGGAGACUAUGUCUGGGUCUGGAGGUAAGUCCUGGCUGGGGGUCCAAGGUGCUGUCCGGACCUCAGGGCAGGGGAGGGUCCCAGGCAGUGGGGAGAGGAUCUCUGAACCUCCACCUUGUCCAGAACAGAGGGCAACAGGGCCUUCAGGAGCCCGGAGGUGAUACUGGGCAGGAAUGGACUGUAGGAAUUUUUAGGCCACCUUCAGUGCUUCCUGUGGGGACAUCUUGUCUGAUGGUUUAAUUUUUUUCUUUUUUUCUGAGCGGUGGUACCCAUUGUUCAACAGAAGAUCCCAGUGCAGCGGCCCACGUCUCCCAAGUGCAGGCUCUAAAGCUGGCUUGUAAGGUGGAAAUCGACCACGGCCAAGUUCCCCUUGGGGAUUCCACAGGAAGGACACAGCCCUCCCCAACCGAGGCGGAUGUACGGUUUCCAUAAAUUCAGCCCACCAAUCCCUCCUGCGUUGGGUCCCGCCCAGGGAAGGCCUGGCUUGUGUUCUGGGGGCCACGGUGUGGAAACAGGAUUGCAUCUGAGCAGACUCAGACUGUGGGGGAACCGCUAACCCAUACCUCCCCCUCCUGGCAUAUCCACCAUCAAUCGGCUCUUUUCUCUCUGAGGCUGUCUUUUUAUUUUUUCCUGAGCAUGUAUAACUGAAUUCCUGUCAAAGUACCUAAGUUGUGACUGCCCUGAGUAUAACAUAAUUAAGGGGGGGCUGCUAUUCUAGUUGAUAUCGGGGAUGGGGCUUCCUGGCCUUGACCUCUUCUCCAGGGUGACCCCAAGACCCAUCCUUAGAAUACCAGGCUCAGGGGAACUCAGCCCAUGAUCGAGGUCCAUGUCUCUGGUUUCCAUCCAGGAAAAUAAGGCUGUGAGAGGAGAGGGAGGUCGUGCUUUGGGGACAAGGAGCAGGGUGGCUGAAGCAGCCAUCCUGGGGGAGGGGGUCUGGGCAGCUGGGGGUGGCACAGGGCCCAAGGCCAGAGCAGGAUGUGAGAGGGGGCGUCUGGGGGCAUGAUGUGUCCAUUGCGCUAUUCAUUCUGUGUUUAUCAUUCAUUCAUUCAGCAAAUGUGAAUGAAGCACCUACUCUGUGCCAUGUGCUGGGGAGGUGAUGAUCCCUGCCGACAAGCUGCUCAUAGUCCACUAUGGGGAAUGGAUUUUAGCCAAUUCACUCUCAGAAAUGGCAAUUUGUGACUGAGAAGUACAAAAUGACAAGGGCCUACAAUGGGCAGGAGGGCUGAUGUGAUUGGGGAGGUCAGAAAGACUUCCUAGAAGCUGCCGAGCUGAGAACUGAAGGGUGAUAGAGGCCAAGUAGAUGAGAAAGGAAGGAACAAAUGUUCCAGCAACUGGGCACAGCAAGUGCAAAGGCCCUAUGAUGGGACAGAACAGAGGAGUAGGUGAAUCUAAAAGACCCUGGAGCUGGAGCUGUGAGGUGAGGGGUGAGUGGGGAGUAGGGAAGGCUGAGGGCUGGGCUGGACAGGCUCCACAGAGGGAGAGCAGCCUGGUCUUAUGCUGAGAGCAAUGGAGAGCCUUGGGAAAGUCUGAGCAGGGAGAUGGGGUCACAAGGCACCUCUGCCUGCCUCUGCCUUCUCACCUGACUACCUGGCAUGCCCUGGCUCAGCAUCUUUCAUGAAUGGUCUCUUUGAAUCUCCACCACUUCUGAAGACCAGCUUUUGAAGGUGCCAGGAGUUGAGCCCACUUGUCAGAUGAGGAAACUGAGUCUCUGAAUCUUCUCACGGCCCCACCCACUUCCUCCUGCCCAGAGAAAAGAGGAACGGGGGACCAACGCCCCAUAAUCAGCUGGGAAGAGGCUGGGUUGGGAAUGGGGAGGGUGAGGCCCUCAGAGGCCGGUGCCUGGGAUGGGCAGGGGCCCUGCUUCCGUUGAACCACAGCCCUGUGGCAUGCCCCAAAAGGGAAGUAGAGGCUGCCUGUCCUCAUCCCCUGAACCCCAGGGAGGGGGCUAGGGAUGCCCUGGGGAGGCAUGACAGACUGGGAUCUUGAAGAACUUUCUGGUCAGCUGAACCCAGCUGGGUGACCUUGUGAUCGAGCCUCAUUAGCUGGGCUUCCUCCUCCUCUUCCUUCCAACUAGAGGAUCAGAACCUCUCUCUUGCCUGUUCUCAGGAUUAGCACAUGGUGGGCCUCACUGAAUGGCUGGCCGAAGGUUGUUGGUUGAAUGCGCUAAAGGUGUUUUUCUUCCUGAAGGGAGUAGCCAAUUAGAUAAAGAACCCAUGUAUUUGACCUUCAACAAAUAUUUAUUGAGCACCCACUGUGUGCCAGGCCUUGUCCCGGUGUUGUGGAGACAGCAAUGAACAAACCAGACAUACAUGCCUGCAGACGCCCCACCAUCCUGCCUGCCCUGCGGCAGACAUCACGAAUCGAUCAUCUUUCCCACUGAUAUCAGAAUUCUCGCCAGCAGCGUGCGCAGGCUGGGACCUGGCACCCGAGGGGGACCGACCUGUCAUUCCCGGGGAAGGACUGCAAAUAUGGCCUCGGAAGAUUCCAGUGAGAACCCCCUACAUGACUGAAGCCGUUUCCUCUCAGUCUCUUUCAACAAACAUCUAUUGAGCACCUACUGUGUGCCAGGUGCUAGGGACAUAGCGGUGACCAGGGUGGACAUGAUGCUUGCCCUUGUGGGGCUGGCAUUCCGGUGAGAGAGAGAGAGAGACAAACGUACAACUCCAGCGCCCAGCACGGUGCCCAGAAUGUAAUCCAUGCUCAACAAACAUUUGCUGAAUGACCGAACAAACAACUCUACGAGUUCUUGGCAGAUAAGGACACAGCGGUCCCUCGGGUCGUCAACAAACACCUGUGGGGGCCCACUGUGGCUGAGACGAACGGAGCAACUUCUGGGUGACUUAGCUCUGGUCACAGCACCUAGGAGUUACGCAAAAGAUAUUGGUCAUGUGAACGAAAAGAAGGGAUAAAUGAAUAAACAAGCAAGUCCAUGUAAGAGAAUGAUCAUGGCCAGCGCUGUUUGAGUGCUUACCGUGUGCAGCCCCGUCGUGGGUCUCCUGUGUGAGGGUUUCACGGAACAGGCGUCCUCGGAGGGAGGGACGGUGGUCAUCCCGCCUCCCACAAUGAGGAGACCACAGUGCAGAGAGGGGCUGUCGGCGCUCAAGGCCUCGUGGCAAGGAAGCGACAGGGCUGGCCCUGGAGCCCAGGCCUCCCAGGUCUCGGGCUGCCCCCGCUGCCUCGGCAUUUUGUGCGCUCUGCCACGUAUCAUCCCACCCACCCCAUGAAGUCGCGGGGAGCAUGAUCUCCUUUUACAGUCGCGAAAACCGAGGCCCGGAGAGGCGAAGUCACGUGCCCAACGUCACACGACAGCCCAUGGAACAUUCGGUUCCUGGUCAUUUCACCAUGAUCCUUCCUGUGAGCCUUCCAUGAUGCAGCCCGGAACCUGAGUCAUCCCAACAUUGAACCUCCCUUGACCUUGGUCUUGUAAGCCCCUGGCCUGGUUCACAGAUGAAAACAGAAAUACUGACGAUGGUGUUGGUGAUGGUGGCUACCGAACCUAAUGGCGUCCUGAGCGCUUAGGUGUACUAACAGUCAAGAUGGAUAUUUCCGUAGCAGAGUCUGUGUCAGCCAGCGCUUUGUACCGGACCCGUGGAAGUCAGUGUGCAGGGAAGGGCCCUGCCGCCCAGAGCCCACGGACCCCUGAGGACAGUCAGUCAGUUGAAGGCCUGACACGUGAAACCGAGACCGCUCAUACCUGUGAGAUCAGAACUGGUGAGACUCUGAGCUGGGAACACUGUGGCGUUUCUAGGCUUUUUAAUGUAAUUCUUUCAAGAAAGAGACCUUCCCCCAAGGCCUCCCCUGCAAAGGUAACGGUAGGUGUUGGGUGUGGGGAGAAGGGCCAGAAGACUUCGAGGGAGCUUGCGAUGUCGCAGGAGACACAGGGCUGUGGGGUCACACCUCUGACCCCAGAUCCCAGCCUUGGUCCCCACCAGCAUGUGACCUAGGGCAGUCAUGUCCCCUGUCCUCUGGGAGCCUAUCUCCGCAUCCGGAAAUAGGGACAAUGAAUCCUUCCAGGGCCAUCACGAGGAUACAACCCGUCUGGGUGGAAUACCAUGACCUGCACUCACAGCUAAUCUCCUGGUUGGCGUGAGGGAAGAUGACUCCAGAAAGGCUGAACGAUGACAGUUCAUCAUCUUUGCAAACCUCAGCUGGGCUCAAAGAGUGUUCCAGACCUCACUGGCAGAGACGCCCAAGGCCCUCUCAAUAAGGCAGGCAGCUGGAGGAGGACUACAGUGGCCUGGGGGUGGCGGUGACCCAGCUCCCUCUGCGAAUGGGCCCCCCUUGCACCAGGAGCUAUUGCCCUCAAGAGAAGCCAGAAAUCCAGAUCUUUACAUCAGCUUUACCAAUUUUUCUUAAAGACUUAUUUAUUUAUUUAUUUAUUUGAGAGAGAGAGAGAGAGAGAGCAAGGCAGGGGGAAGGGCAGAGUGAGAGGGAGAGAAGCAGACUCCCUGCUAAGUGUGGAGCCCCAUGUGGGGCUCGAACUCAUGACCCUGAGAUCAUGACCUGAGCUGAACCAAGAGUUGGUCCCUUAACCGACUGCGCCCCCCCAAGCGCCCCUCAGCUCUCCCAGUUUUUAAAUGUUUCUGGCUAAUUGAGAAAAAGCACCGGCCUAUCACCCCACACCUUCUAGAAUGGCUAUAAUCAAAAAGAUGAACAGCAGCAAGUGUUGGCAAGCCUGUGGACUGACUGGAAGGCACACACACUGCUGGUGGCAACCGCUUUGGAAAAAACAGUCCAGCCCUUUUCCGGAAGGUUCCACACAGUUACCACAUGACCCAGAAUGCCACUUGCAGGCGUGUACCCAGAUUUGAACGCCUACGUCUGAACAAACAUGUGCACAUGGAUGUUCUUGGCAGCACUAGUCAAAACAGCCCAACGGCAAAAACAACCCAAGUGCCCAUCAACCGAUGGAGGCUGAAACGUGCGUCUCGCUGUGUGACGGAAUACUACGUAGCAACAAAAAGGAGUAAAGCACUGAUUCAGGCCACAGUGUGGCUGAGCCUUGAAAGCAUUCUGUUAAGUGAAAGCAGGCAGACAAAAAUGGCCGGAUAACAUAUGCUUCCAUGUAUAUGAAAUGUUCAGAAGAGGCAAAUCUAUAGAAACAGAAAGUGGAUCAGUAGUCACCAGGGGUAGGAGUGAGGGGAAAUGGGAAGUGACUGUAAAUGGACCCGGGGUAUUUUGGGGAGGGAAAUGGAUUGUGGUAAUGGUUGCACCACUCUGUGAAGAUAUUAAAAAAAACCAUUGACUUGUACACUUUAAAGGGGUGAAUUGUGUGGUAUGUGAAUUAUAUCCCCAUAAAGCUGUUAAAAUAAGAAUGUGUUGGGGCGCCUGGCGGGCUCGGUCAGUAGAGCAUGUGACUCUUGAU